GAUGAACGCUGGCGGCGUGCCUAAUACAUGCAAGUCGAGCGAACGGACGAGAAGCUUGCUUCUCUGAUGUUAGCGGCGGACGGGUGAGUAACACGUGGAUAACCUACCUAUAAGACUGGGAUAACUUCUGGAAACCGGAGCUAAUACCGGAUAAUAUUUUGAACCGCAUGGUUCAAAAGUGAAAGACGGUCUUGCUGUCACUUAUAGAUGGAUCCGCGCUGCAUUAGCUAGUUGGUAAGGUAACGGCUUACCAAGGCAACGAUGCAUAGCCGACCUGAGAGGGUGAUCGGCCACACUGGAACUGAGACACGGUCCUGACUCCUACGGGAGGCAGCAGUAGGGAAUCUUCCGCAAUGGGCGAAAGCCUGACGGAGCAACGCCGCGUGAGUGAUGAAGGUCUUCGGAGCGUAAAACUCUGUUAUUAGGGAAGAACAUAUGUGUAAGUAACUGUGCACAUCUUGACGGUACCUAGUCAGAAAGCCACGGCUAACUACGUG
RNAcentral lists this ribosomal RNA (497 nucleotides) under uncultured bacterium. RNAcentral's name for it is "partial 16S ribosomal RNA". It matches the Rfam family "Bacterial small subunit ribosomal RNA", at positions 28 to 507 of the family's 1533-position model. The record is from RNAcentral.